GAUGAACGCUGGCGGCGUGCCUAAUACAUGCAAGUCGAGCGAACAGACGAGGAGCUUGCUCCUCUGACGUUAGCGGCGGACGGGUGAGUAACACGUGGAUAACCUACCUAUAAGACUGGGAUAACUUCGGGAAACCGGAGCUAAUACCGGAUAAUAUAUUGAACCGCAUGGUUCAAUAGUGAAAGACGGUUUUGCUGUCACUUAUAGAUGGAUCCGCGCCGCAUUAGCUAGUUGGUAAGGUAACGGCUUACCAAGGCAACGAUGCGUAGCCGACCUGAGAGGGUGAUCGGCCACACUGGAACUGGGACACGGUCAAGACUCCUACGGGAGGCAGCAGUAGGGAAUCUUCCGCAAUGGGCGAAAGCCUGACGGAGCAACGCCGCGUGAGUGAUGAAGGUCUUCGGAUCGUAAAACUCUGUUAUUAGGGAAGAACAAAUGUGUAAGUAACUAUGCACGUCUUGACGGUACCUAAUCAGAAAGCCACGGCUAACUACGUG
RNAcentral lists this ribosomal RNA (497 nucleotides) under uncultured bacterium. Its description in RNAcentral is "partial 16S ribosomal RNA". It matches the Rfam family "Bacterial small subunit ribosomal RNA", at positions 28 to 507 of the family's 1533-position model. The record is from RNAcentral.